RNAcentral lists this ribosomal RNA (314 nucleotides) under uncultured soil bacterium. Its description in RNAcentral is "bacterial SSU rRNA". It matches the Rfam family "Bacterial small subunit ribosomal RNA", at positions 26 to 329 of the family's 1533-position model. The record is from RNAcentral.
AGGACGAACGCUGGCGGCGCGCUUAACACAUGCAAGUCGAGCGAUCGACCGGGCCUUCGGGCCCGGCACGGAGCGGCGAACGGGUGAGUAACACGUGGGUAAUCUGCCCUCGGCUCCGGGAUAACUCCGGGAAACCGGUGCUAAUACCGGAUAGCCUCCGAAGCCUUCGGGCGUCGGAGAAAAGGUAGCUUCGGCCUCUGACCGAGGAUGAGCCCGCGUCCGAUUAGCUUGUUGGUGAGGUAACGGCUCCACCAAGGCGACGAUCGGUAGCUGGUGUGAGAGCAUGACCAGCCACACGUGGGACUGAGACACGG